UUGAGCUGCAACUUUUGGAUUUUUGACUUAAAGUAGAAAAGUAAAAGAAAAGUAAAGUAUAUAACUAGGUAAUAUAUUCAGCGCAGGACAUCCCCACACAAUUAAUUAUUAACUUUACCCAAUAGACUAGAUCAAUUUUCUAUACGUAGAUGUAGUAUUACCUACACUACAACUGGUGGCGGGGUAACUCAGCGCCUGCCCGUUAAACAAGAGAAGAAGAAACUGGGCAAACAUGGCAGCGUGCAUGAGAAGCGUGAUAUGUCUUGUUUCCAUUGAGCGAAACGCUUUUCUAACAAGGGGAAGCAGCAUUGUUGUGCAGUCUAAACGGUAUGUACGCGGACUGAGGAGGAAGCCUGUCAGAGUGCUGUUUCCUGAAAACGAGACGGAUAAAGUCCUCAAGCCGACGCCACAGUCUGAGUCAGCAGGGCAAAAAAUCAACAGGGAGACGGAGGCUCAAUUCACAUCUACAACUAGGCAUCUUGAAGAAAGUGACUUUGUCAAUACGAGGAGUAAUGUGCAGUCAACUCUAAAACAUGCUCACGUUACAAAGGAUCAGAUUGAUGGACUGCGCUUCGAGAGGGCUUUACCUGGAGAUAAAAGACUGGCGAGGUUAGUGAGUGUUGCUCGUUCCAGGACGUUUCGGGAGCACCAGGGUAAAAUCCUCCUGGAGGGCAGGCGUUUGAUCUGUGACGCCCUGGACGCAGGAGCCAACCCACAGAUGGUGUUCUUCAGUACGGUGGAUCGGCUCAGAGAGCUGCCUUUAAACAAGCUGAAAAGGGCCACGCUAGUCAAAGUCAAGUUUGAGGACAUCAAGAUCUGGUCUGACCUUGUGGCCCCACAAGGGGUGAUCGCCAUAUUUUCUCGCCCGGACCCGUCACGGUUGAACUUCGCAAACAGAGGUCAUUCACUGCCGUUGUCCCUGAUAUGCGACAACAUCCGAGACCCUGGCAACCUUGGGACCAUGUUGCGAUGUGCUGCUGCUGCUGGCUGUAAUGAUGUACUACUCACCAAAGGUUGUGUUGAUGCUUGGGAGCCUAAAGUUCUGCGUGCAGCAAUGGGCGCCCAUUUCCGCCUUCCCAUCUAUCCAAGCUUGGGCUGGGAUGAUAUCAAAAAUCAUCUCCCUAAACCUGUGACUGUCCAUGUGGCUGACAGCAGCUGUGGCACUGACAGAAGCAGAGAAACGGAGGAUUCACAAGUUAAUGUGUCUCAUAAAUCCUCCAAAGCAAGUGACUAUGGCUGGGUCAGCACAAAGCCUAAUCACAAUAACAUGCGCUACGUGGAAUAUGAUUCUGACUCUGGCUCAGAUAGUGAAUAUGAGGGACUUGAACUUCCCAGAGUGGACACAAAGCUGUACCAUGACAGCUGGGCUCGGAAUGCCACUGCUCUUGUGAUAGGUGGAGAGACACAGGGCCUGAGUCUAGAAGCAGCCCAGUUGGCUGAGAAAACCGCUGGCCACAGGCUCUUUAUUCCGGUCGUUCCUGAUGUAGACAGCUUGAAUUCAGCCAUGGCAGCCAGUAUCCUUUUGUUUGAGGGCAGGAAACAACUGUUAAAACUAAAGCAGAUACCGGGCAGAUAAUGUAAAGCUGAACAGCAGUUUUCAUGAUGUUCGCUCUAAAUAGCAUUAUGUGACUUCUGGUGUACAUCAUUCCUUAUUACUGCAGACCAAACAGAAUAAUUUUAAUUUAAUUAUUUCCAUCCUGCACCUUGUUCUGCUAACAAUAAAAUACUGAAUUUGAAUCAGGGGAAUUAUUUUUAAUAUCAAUUAAUCUUCUGAUUAUCUUGAUUAAGCGUCUUGUCUACAAGAUGUCAGAAAAUAGUAAAGAAACUGGUCAUUAGAAUUUCCCAGAGCCCAGGGAUCUUCAAAUUCCUUGUUUUAUCCAAUUAUUAGCUCAAAAACAGAAGAUUUUCAGUGAACUGCCAAAGAUGACAAUUUAGAACAACAAACAAACAUCUGUCAUAGGUGUUACUUUCUAGCCAUGGUAUCGUCCCAUUUAACAAAAAUACAAAGCACAUAUCCCUUGCUUUUUUUACCCAUCCUUCCCUUUUCAUAGAGUCCAUAAGAGCCUUAAAUAGAUGCCCACACAUGAUGCAUGAUUAUUAUAGAAAGAACUCACUGUGACAGUGUCAUGUCUAUCCUUUACUCUGUAUCUGCUGCCACAUUGUCUAUGCAAAUAUGCAGAACUCACUACACUUCCAUCCCACCUGGAGUCAAUCUGCAUACUGUCUCCCGUAAUAAAUGCAACAUUUGCCUUGAGUUUA
This is an RNA transcript of Micropterus dolomieu (smallmouth bass), 2259 nucleotides long. It is a transcript of the gene named mitochondrial rRNA methyltransferase 3a, with no coding region annotated. The record is from RefSeq and is a predicted model, not a curated record. The transcript is spliced from 5 exons. Lineage: Eukaryota; Metazoa; Chordata; Actinopteri; Centrarchiformes; Centrarchidae.